Molecule: transfer RNA, 67 nt
Filed under: Curculionidae sp. BMNH 1040049
Lineage: Eukaryota; Metazoa; Arthropoda; Insecta; Coleoptera; Curculionidae
Description: tRNA-Met
Source: RNAcentral
UAAAAGAUAAGCUAAUUAAAGCUAACUGGUUCAUACCCAGCUCAUAAGAUGUACUUCUUUCUUUUAA